This 280-nucleotide long non-coding RNA is filed under the name Elaeis guineensis (African oil palm). RNAcentral describes it as "long non-coding RNA (EGUI_LNC046519)". Lineage: Eukaryota; Viridiplantae; Streptophyta; Magnoliopsida; Arecales; Arecaceae. The record is from RNAcentral.
CAAUGGAUCUUGGAUUCUGGCUGCUGGCAUUUUUUUUGAGAAUUUGAACUCUCUUUUCCCUUGGAUUUUCUUGAAAAUCCAAUUCUUUUUCUCUAUUUUUCAGCCACCCUAUCGUUGGACACCAAUUGCCAUAUGAAGGUCUUCUAUAACCAAUCCUCCAGCCAUAGCCACCGUUGUCGGUGGAGCCUCCCUUUGUUUCGGGGAAAGAAGAGGAGGAAUCCCCUAUUUUGCUAAAAAAUCAUGGGAAGAAGAAGAAGAGAGAAAAGAAAAAGAGGAAGAA